This 500-nucleotide ribosomal RNA is filed under the name uncultured bacterium. RNAcentral's name for it is "partial 16S ribosomal RNA". It matches the Rfam family "Bacterial small subunit ribosomal RNA", at positions 30 to 523 of the family's 1533-position model. The record is from RNAcentral.
AUUGUACGCUGGCGGCAUGCCUUACACAUGCAAGUCGAACGGCAGCACGGGAGCAAUCCUGGUGGCGAGUGGCGAACGGGUGAGUAAUAUAUCGGAACGUGCCCAGUCGUGGGGGAUAACGUAGCGAAAGCUACGCUAAUACCGCAUACGAACUAUGGAUGAAAGAGGGGGAUCGCAAGACCUAGCGCGAUUGGAGCGGCCGAUAUCAGAUUAGGUAGUUGGUGAGGUAAAGGCUCACCAAGCCGACGAUCUGUAGCUGGUCUGAGAGGACGACCAGCCACACGGGGACUGAGACACGGCCCAGACUCCUACGGGAGGCAGCAGUGGGGAAUUUUGGACAAUGGGCGCAAGCCUGAUCCAGCAAUGCCGCGUGCAGGAUGAAGGCCUUCGGGUUGUAAACUGCUUUUGUACGGAACGAAACGGCGAGCUCUAAUACAGUUUGCUAAUGACGGUACCGUAAGAAUAAGCACCGGCUAACUACGUGCCAGCCGCCGCCGUAA